AGGUAAAUUUUCUCCCCUUGUCUCGUUUUUCGAAGCUGAAUCCGCCUAUGGUCAAAUCGGAGCCAAACCACCGCCCAAUCGAUCGGAAAAUACUGUUGAAGUCCAGCGGUGCCGCUGCGGCUUCCUUCGAUUUUUGCCUCCGAUGAGGCCCUUUCUAGUUCCCGUUUGAUGCAAUUUUUACGCCACUGUGAUCACCGUUCUUUUCUCUACAGGUUAACCGGAGUAAAACAUCAAACCGCAACUCGCGCCGGAGAAGCCGCCGCACCAAAGAGCACCACCGCCGGUAAGUCUCAGUUUUUCGUAAUU
Molecule: long non-coding RNA, 306 nt
Filed under: Carica papaya (papaya)
Lineage: Eukaryota; Viridiplantae; Streptophyta; Magnoliopsida; Brassicales; Caricaceae
Description: long non-coding RNA (CPAP_LNC002108)
Source: RNAcentral